UUAUCUAAUGAGGAGAGCAGGAGAAAAGGGUUAGGUAAAAAUUGUUGUGUGUGAUUGGCACUGUUAAAAUGGAUGGAAGAAGCAAGUAUUAAAUACUAUGCAGUUCAGUGAGUGCUAGCUUGCAGUAUGAAAAUGUUGGCUGGACAAGAUGUAUUUUGACCUUAGGGUUUUGGUUCUUAAUGUUUUCUUAGUGAGGUUUUUUACACUCAGAUGCUCAGAGGUCUGGUACUUAUUAUCUUCUGAAGAAAGGGCACAGGUUUUUGCAAGCGACUUGAGCUCAUAUCAGCACUGAGAUCACAGUGCAUGAUGUAAAUGUUGACAGGCUGGAGUUUAGCAGGCAAAACAUGAAGCAAGGCAAAUGAAGAUGCUUCAUGUGAGAGUAUGACGUAGCCCCAUCUAAGGCACGAGAUGAUAUAUUGCUUGCUGAGCUGACUGAGAAAACAACGGCGCCUAAAUAAAGCUGUGAAUCAUCCUCCUGUCUCACACCACUUCCACUGCAGUAGCUUCCCUUCUGAAAAAAAAAUGUGGCAAAUCCUUUGAUUGCAAAUAUUGCGAAUAAACAUGUCAGUCCUGGCAACUCUUUGGACAGACGGUAGAUGUUACUUGUUGUUCCCAUUCAAGACAUUUGACUGCUAAGAUGGAAAAUCCCAGCAUUUGAAACCCCAGGCAUGUUUAUUCUUAUGCCAAUAAUGCAAAAUGGCAUAUUGGAUGCAAGUAGGAAGAAGAGUCUCCAAAGGUGUAGGACUGUAUAAAUGAUGCCAUCGUACUGAAGGACAAGGACCACUUUGAGGACUUUUCUUAUAUCACUCCAGCUUUCUCCUUCUGAGUGCAGAGUGCAAAAAGCCACAAAUUGAUGGAACUUGCCAGCUUAGGGAGUAAAUUGGCAGAAUGAAAGACAUUUGUUGAAUGCUGCCUCUGUGGUAGAGGGAAAACAAGUGUGAUAGAACAGUCAAUGUGAAUGAUCACAGGAGAAAUUUAAUAUAUGUGACUCCAUG
Long non-coding RNA from Neopsephotus bourkii (Bourke's parrot), 995 nucleotides. RefSeq lists it as uncharacterized. The transcript is spliced from 4 exons. The record is from RefSeq and is a predicted model, not a curated record. Lineage: Eukaryota; Metazoa; Chordata; Aves; Psittaciformes; Psittacidae.